AGAUUGAACGCUGGCGGCAUGCCUAACACAUGCAAGUCGAACGGCAGCACGGGGGCAACCCUGGUGGCGAGUGGCGGACGGGUGAGGAAUGCAUAGGAAUCUGCCCAGUUGUGGGGGAUAACGUAGGGAAACUUACGCUAAUACCGCAUACGACCUACGGGUGAAAGAGGGGGACCUUCGGGCCUCUCGCGAUUGGAUGAGCCUAUGCCGGAUUAGCUAGUUGGCGGGGUAAAAGCCCACCAAGGCGACGAUCCGUAGCUGGUCUGAGAGGAUGAUCAGCCACACUGGAACUGAGACACGGUCCAGACUCCUACGGGAGGCAGCAGUGGGGAAUAUUGGACAAUGGGCGCAAGCCUGAUCCAGCAAUGCCGCGUGUGUGAAGAAGGCCUUCGGGUUGUAAAGCACUUUUGUUUGGGAAGAAAUCCGGUUGGUUAAUACCCGAUCGGGAUGACGGUACCAAAAGAAUAAGCACCGGCUAACUUCGUG
This 486-nucleotide ribosomal RNA is filed under the name uncultured bacterium. Its description in RNAcentral is "bacterial SSU rRNA". It matches the Rfam family "Bacterial small subunit ribosomal RNA", at positions 26 to 507 of the family's 1533-position model. The record is from RNAcentral.